Molecule: ribosomal RNA, 422 nt
Filed under: uncultured bacterium
Lineage: Bacteria
Description: bacterial SSU rRNA
Rfam family: Bacterial small subunit ribosomal RNA
Source: RNAcentral
UGAGGAAUAUUGGUCAAUGGGGGCAACCCUGAACCAGCCAAGUCGCGUGAAGGAUGAAGGUCUUAUGGAUUGUAAACUUCUUUUAUACAGGAAUAAAUUGGGGGACGUGUCCCCUUUUGCAUGUACUGUAUGAAUAAGGAUCGGCUAACUCCGUGCCAGCAGCCGCGGUAAUACGGAGGAUCCGAGCGUUAUCCGGAUUUAUUGGGUUUAAAGGGUGCGCAGGCGGGAUGUUAAGUCGGCGGUGAAAUUUUGCAGCUCAACUGUAAAAGUGCCUUCGAUACUGGCCUCCUUGAGUGUGGAUGGAGUAGGCGGAAUUUGUGGUGUAGCGGUGAAAUGCUUAGAUAUCACGAGGAACUCCGAUUGCGCAGGCAGCUUACUAAGCCACAACUGACGCUCAUGCACGAAGGCGUGGGGAUCAAACA